AAAUUGAAGAGUUUGAUCAUGGCUCAGAUUGAACGCUGGCGGCAGGCCUAACACAUGCAAGUCGAACGGUAACAGGAAGAAGCUUGCUUCUUUGCUGACGAGUGGCGGACGGGUGAGUAAUGUCUGGGAAACUGCCUGAUGGAGGGGGAUAACUACUGGAAACGGUAGCUAAUACCGCAUAAUGUCGCAAGACCAAAGAGGGGGACCUUCGGGCCUCUUGCCAUCGGAUGUGCCCAGAUGGGAUUAGCUAGUAGGUGGGGUAACGGCUCACCUAGGCGACGAU
RNAcentral lists this ribosomal RNA (283 nucleotides) under Escherichia coli. RNAcentral describes it as "partial 16S ribosomal RNA". It matches the Rfam family "Bacterial small subunit ribosomal RNA", at positions 1 to 280 of the family's 1533-position model. Lineage: Bacteria; Pseudomonadati; Pseudomonadota; Gammaproteobacteria; Enterobacterales; Enterobacteriaceae. The record is from RNAcentral.